UGAUAAUGUGAUCUAGGUAGUGGUAGUGACUUCAUUAUUUUGACAACACUGUAUGGUAAAGCUCAGCACAAUUACAUUUGUAAAUAUGCAUUUUCUGUUCCAUUAUCUCCAAUGAUCUCAAUUUUAAGAAUGAGUGCUGAGUACAGUAAUAACUUAUAAGUAUUUAUGUGUCUUGCAGAAUGUUGUCAUAAAUUGAUCCAUCUACCCUUGGGUUUAAAAAGUGAAACAAAUAUAUAGUAUAAAUUCCUAAACAUGGGUUUCUGGUCAAGCUACAAAAGACUUACUCAGAGACAGAAAUUUCUCAUUGGCCUCAGCUGGAUUGCAACUGGUUUACUUGGUCCACAUAUCUUGCUCUAUUUUGUCCCAAGUCAGAAACAAAGACUUCAGGAAAAACAAAGAAUUGAAAAUGAAAAAGAAGAAUUGAGUAGUUAGUUGAAUUAGAACUAUAAGAGUCGAGUCCAGUUGGCUGCAUGGGAAGCUGACCAAAGACCAAAUUGGGAUGAAUUAUUAUUAUCCCACAUUAUUAUGCUGCCUCACUUUCUGUUGUGAUUGAACAAACUGUACUUUUUAAUUAUUACAACUUUAAUAGUGUUAGGUCUUGGCAGAAGUGGAAAAAGUAUUGGAACCUGCAUGGGAACCUAGUUCCCAGAAAUUUUUUAGGCAUCCAAAUUUUCGCAGAAAUUUUCACAGAUAUUGUUUUAUAUUUGAUAACUAAUUCUGAGAAUUACACUAAUUGAAUAUCAGAUUACUAAAUACUUGAUUAUUGAAAUGAUUGAAUAGUUAUAUAAUUAAUCUGCUAUCUCGAUACCUAAAUUACAGUGGAAUAGUUCAGAACAAAAAUAGCAUGCAGUGUUACUUUGUAACUAUGAUUUUGUACUUCAGGAUUUAUCUUGUAUGCUUGAUCAGUCUUAAUUGAAGAGAUUGCUUCACGCGACUCACAUCUUAAUGAAUAUAAUCCAUGUAAGGUAAGACCGACA
This 977-nucleotide long non-coding RNA is filed under the name Paramuricea clavata. Lineage: Eukaryota; Metazoa; Cnidaria; Anthozoa; Malacalcyonacea; Plexauridae. The record is from RNAcentral.